This 220-nucleotide ribosomal RNA is filed under the name uncultured fungus. Its description in RNAcentral is "partial 18S ribosomal RNA". The stretch from base 28 to 220 matches the Rfam family "Eukaryotic small subunit ribosomal RNA", at positions 674 to 869 of the family's 1831-position model. Lineage: Eukaryota; Fungi. The record is from RNAcentral.
GGGUCAGUAGGUUGGUCAUGCCACUGGUAUGUACUGAUCUUACUGAUUCCUCCUUCCUGAUGAACCGUAAUGCCAUUAAUUUGGUGUUGCGGGGAGACUGGACUGUUACUUUGAAAAAUUAGAGUGUUUAAAGCAGGCUAACGCUUGAAUACAUUAGCAUGGAAUAAUGAAAUAGGACGUUCGAUCCUAUUUUGUUGGUUUCUAGGAUUGACGUAAUGAU